UAAUACGGAGGGUGCAAGCGUUAGUCGGAAUUACUGGGCGUAAAGCGCGCGUAGGCGGUCUGGUCAGUCGGAUGUGAAAGCCCCGGGCUUAACCUGGGAAUUGCAUUCGAUACUGCCAAACUAGAAUGUGGAAGAGGGAAGUGGAAUUUCCGGUGUAGCGGUGAAAUGCGUAGAUAUCGGAAGGAACACCAGUGGCGAAGGCGGCUUCCUGGUCCAACAUUGACGCUGAGGUGCGAAAGCGUGGGGAGCGAACAGGAUUAGAUACCCUGGUAGUCCACGCCGUAAACGAUGAGAACUAGAUGUCGGGAGGGUUUAGCCUCUCGGUGUCGUAGCUAACGCGUUAAGCACUCCGCCUGGGGAGUACGGCCGCAAGGUUA
This 377-nucleotide ribosomal RNA is filed under the name uncultured Gammaproteobacteria bacterium. RNAcentral describes it as "bacterial SSU rRNA". It matches the Rfam family "Bacterial small subunit ribosomal RNA", at positions 521 to 896 of the family's 1533-position model. The record is from RNAcentral. Lineage: Bacteria; Pseudomonadati; Pseudomonadota; Gammaproteobacteria.